Molecule: ribosomal RNA, 463 nt
Filed under: uncultured bacterium
Lineage: Bacteria
Description: bacterial SSU rRNA
Rfam family: Bacterial small subunit ribosomal RNA
Source: RNAcentral
UUAACACAUGCAAGUCGAACGGAAUCCAAGGAGCUUGCUCUGGAAGAUUUAGUGGCGAACGGGUGAGUAUCACGUGAGCAACCUGCUCCGAAGAUUGGGAUAACACCGGGAAACCGGUGCUAAUACCGAAUACCCUCCACACAUCGCAUGAUGAGUAGAGGAAAUGUUUUUCGCUUCGGGAGGGGCUCGCGGUCCAUCAGCUUGUUGGCGGGGUAACGGCCCACCAAGGCGUCGACGGAUAGCUGGUCUGAGAGGACGAUCAGCCACACUGGAACUGAGACACGGUCCAGACUCCUACGGGAGGCAGCAGUGGGGAAUCUUGCGCAAUGGACGAAAGUCUGACGCAGCAACGCCGCGUGAGGGACGAAGGCUUUCUGAGUUGUAAACCUCUUUCGACAGGAACGAUUGUGACGGUACCUGUAGAAGAAGCACCGGCCAACUAUGUGCCAGCAGCCGCGGUAAU